ACUCCUACGGGAGGCAGCAGUAAGGAAUAUUGGACAAUGGGCGCAAGCCUGAUCCAGCCAUCCCGCGUGCAGGAAGACAGCCCUAUGGGUUUUAAACUGCUUUUAGAAGGGAAGAAACGCCUACAUUUAUGUGGGUUUGACGGUACCUUCAGAAUAAGCACCGGCUAAACCUCCGUGCCAGCAGCCGCGGUAAUACGGAGGGUGCGAGCGUUAUCCGGAAUUACUGGGUUUAAAGGGUGCGUAGGCGGGCGAUUAAGUCAGAGGUGAAAGCUUUCAGCUUAAACAUUGCAUGAAAAUUGCCUUUGAUACUGAUUUGGAUCUUGGU
RNAcentral lists this ribosomal RNA (325 nucleotides) under uncultured bacterium. RNAcentral's name for it is "bacterial SSU rRNA". It matches the Rfam family "Bacterial small subunit ribosomal RNA", at positions 335 to 652 of the family's 1533-position model. The record is from RNAcentral.